Molecule: ribosomal RNA, 404 nt
Filed under: uncultured Synechococcus sp.
Lineage: Bacteria; Bacillati; Cyanobacteriota; Cyanophyceae; Synechococcales; Synechococcaceae
Description: bacterial SSU rRNA
Rfam family: Bacterial small subunit ribosomal RNA
Source: RNAcentral
CGGACGGGUGAGUAACACGUGAGAAUCUACCCUUAGGAGGGGGAUAACAGUUGGAAACGACUGCUAAUACCCCAUAUGCCGCAAGGUGAAAUCUUUUUUGGCCUGAGGAUGAGCUCGCGGUGGAUUAGCUAGUUGGUGGGGUAAUGGCCUACCAAGGCAACGAUCCAUAGCUGGUCUGAGAGGAUGAUCAGCCACACUGGGACUGAGACACGGCCCAGACUCCUACGGGAGGCAGCAGUGGGGAAUUUUCCGCAAUGGGCGAAAGCCUGACGGAGCAAGACCGCGUGAGGGAUGAAGGCCUUUGGGUUGUAAACCUCUUUUCUCAGGGAAGAACACAAUGACGGUACCUGAGGAAUAAGCCUCGGCUAACUCCGUGCCAGCCGCCGCCGUAAAACUCCGUAGAC